AUUGGACCUGAAAAUGCCACCAACUUGUUAAUUGGACACUAUUCAAACCUACAAUUGAUGCAGUGAUCAAGUGGCCCAAUAUUUUUGUCGGCUUGUCCCGCAGGCAGGUCUUCCGUGUUCCUGUGUGAUGCAAUAGAAAAUCCCGCAGACAGGCAGACGCCAAAAAGGCGGAGACAUCUUGCAAGAAACUGCGACGCACUUUCAACUGAGAGAUGACGUCAUGUCUGCUGGCCUACGUCCUUUGUCCCCACCAGGAUUUGGAUCAGCGUUGGCCUCUGUGUCAG
Long non-coding RNA from Nerophis lumbriciformis (worm pipefish), 284 nucleotides. RefSeq lists it as uncharacterized. The record is from RefSeq and is a predicted model, not a curated record. Lineage: Eukaryota; Metazoa; Chordata; Actinopteri; Syngnathiformes; Syngnathidae.